This 445-nucleotide ribosomal RNA is filed under the name uncultured bacterium. Its description in RNAcentral is "bacterial SSU rRNA". It matches the Rfam family "Bacterial small subunit ribosomal RNA", at positions 331 to 792 of the family's 1533-position model. The record is from RNAcentral.
CCAGACUCCUACGGGAGGCAGCAGUGGGGAAUAUUGCACAAUGGGGGGAACCCUGAUGCAGCGACGCCGCGUGGGUGAAGGAGUAUUUCGGUAUGUAAAGCCCUAUCAGCAGGGAAGAACAAUGACGGUACCUGACUAAGAAGCACCGGCUAAAUACGUGCCAGCAGCCGCGGUAAUACGUAUGGUGCAAGCGUUAUCCGGAUUCACUGGGUGUAAAGGGAGCGUAGACGGCGACGCAAGUCUGGAGUGAAAGCCCGGGGCCCAACCCCGGGACUGCUCUGGAAACUGCGUCGCUGGAGUACGGGAGGGGCAGGCGGAAUUCCUAGUGUAGCGGUGAAAUGCGUAGAUAUUAGGAGGAACACCAGUGGCGAAGGCGGCCUGCUGGACUGCAACUGACGUUGAGGCUCGAAGGCGUGGGGAGCAAACAGGAUUAGAUACCCCAGUA